This 365-nucleotide long non-coding RNA is filed under the name Nicotiana benthamiana. Its description in RNAcentral is "long non-coding RNA (NBEN_LNC021524)". The record is from RNAcentral. Lineage: Eukaryota; Viridiplantae; Streptophyta; Magnoliopsida; Solanales; Solanaceae.
UAGUUUUAUUCACUGAAAAUUCCUGCUUCCUCCACAUGAUACAUGACCCUUCUCUGAGGAAGCCUCUGGAUCUUGGUAGAGAAGAUGCUGGCUUAUAUAAACUGGCUUGGGUUCCACCUUCCCCUUCUUCCUCUACUAAUUGUUCAUCUACUUCUGUAUGUUCUGUGUCUGCUUCUUGUAAUGAUGACAUUUUGUCUGAUAACAAGGCUGUUAGCUUGUCCUCAAAUGUACAUGGUUCCAUCUGUAAUAAUGUUGUUACAACUGAUGAAUUACAUUUGGCAUUUAAGACUAGCCCAUACUUCAUUUACAAAUAUGAGACACAUUUCUGGUUUGCCUUAUCCAUUUGCUUCUAAACAACCUUUCCC